Molecule: ribosomal RNA, 253 nt
Filed under: uncultured bacterium
Lineage: Bacteria
Description: partial 16S ribosomal RNA
Rfam family: Bacterial small subunit ribosomal RNA
Source: RNAcentral
GACAGAGGGUGCAAACGUUGUUCGGAAUUACUGGGCGUAAAGCGUGUGUAGGCGGCUAUGUAAGUCGGAUGUGAAAGCCCCGGGCUCAACUCGGGAAGUGCACUCGAUACUGCGUAGCUAGAGUACCGGAGAGGUUGGUGGAAUUCUCGGUGUAGAGGUGAAAUUCGUAGAUAUCGAGAGGAACAUCGGUGGCGAAGGCGGCCUUCUGGACGGUGACUGACGCUGAGACGCGAAAGCGUGGGGAGCAAACAGG